Molecule: long non-coding RNA, 1545 nt
Filed under: Sus scrofa (pig)
Lineage: Eukaryota; Metazoa; Chordata; Mammalia; Artiodactyla; Suidae
Description: lncRNA (ENSSSCG00055026135.1)
Source: RNAcentral
CAACUGGAGUGUCUUUUAAAAUCUGGUGAUCUCUUGCAUGCUUCAUGUUGGCGUGAAAGCCAAAGCUAAUAUUUAGGAAGGGAAGGUACCUGUGCCAGCAGAGGUGUCAUGGGGACAGUUCAGAAUAGAGCCUUUGCUCUUUUACAGUGUGUGAGCUGAUUCACAGACAUUUUGUGUUUAUAGCACUCAGCGACAACCUGCAUGCAAUGUUUCUACUGGAUUUUAUCCCCAUCCUUGAUUAUGGGACGCUCUUCACAGACACACUUAACUUUGAUUGUGAAGAUGGGGCUUGAUGAUUUCAGAAACAUAGUUAAGAUAAGCUAAAUGCUGAAGAUUGCUAUUUUGAAAACCACUGUGAAUUUGCUUAUUUGGCAUGUAGAUGGAGAAUAAUAAGUCUUGUUACUAGUAUCACAAAUAUUCAGGCAAACUUUUACCCUAUAUUACUGAUUACUCCUCAGGACUCAGGUCAUUCUAAAUGUCCAUUGGGUGGUCUUUCUUCAGUGGCACAGGCCAUCAGAAGUGUUUAUAAAAUAUUGAAUACAGCUCUGGAUAAUUCAAGCAAAAAGGGAAUUGAUUAGAAGGACAACGGUAGUUCAUUAUAAUUAUAAGAAAAUAGGAGAUUAGGUUCAGAAAUAAACAACAACCAACUGUGGGCCUGAUGGCCAAGGCCAAGGUUGCACUGUGCUCUCAUCAGGGCCUCACUGCUGGCACAACUCUUCCUGGACCUCCCCAACCCCUUUUAGACUCUUGACUCCUCCACUGCCACCAAGAAUGUCAUGACUGCCUCCCUUAAGAAACAAAGUCUGAGGUGGGACUUUCCAAUUGGCUGAGCCUAGGUCAUGUGCUCAAGUGCCAGUCACAGGGGACUCUGGGAGUGGGGAUUAUCUGACACCCUUUGGCUUUCCCCUUAGGAAAUCUACCAAGACCCACCCAAUGGGGAACUGUUCCUAACAGAGAGUUCAAUGCCUCAUAGCCAAGAACAAAACAAAACAAAAAAACAAGAAAUGAGAAUUGAUUGCCACGGGGACCGACAUGAGAAACUCUCUCUUGCUCAUCUUGAAGAAGCCAGUUGCCAUGGUGGAAGAGUGUCUGCGAGGAGGCCAUGUGGCGAAGAACUUCCAGGAAGACUCUAGAAGCUAAUAGUAGCUCCUGGCUAACAACUCGGAAGAAAACAGGGACCCCAGCCCUAUAGUUUCAAGGAACUGAACUCUGACUGAAGCCCAGCUGUCACCUUGAUUGCAGCCUUGUGAAACCCUGAGCUGAGUCCAGUCAUGCUGAGCCAAGGCUCCUGACCCAAGGAAAACGUGUGCUAUUAAAUGGGUGUUAUUUUUGAGCCCACUAACAUUGUGAUAGUUUGCUAUAUCCUAUAGAAAGCAAGUACAGUGGGCUUUCCAUUCAUUUCUAUAACAGUCUUCAUAAAUUUAUCUUUAAAUCAAUUAUUCUCAAACUCUGUGAAGAAUCAACGUUUUAAUCUCCAAUUUAUCUAUGGAAAAAUACUUUUAUAAAGUGAAAUAAAAAUGAAUGACUAGAAAAAUUUAAAGGACA